UUGGCUGGAGAGCAGGAGGAAAUAUUUUCUUCUGCUUCUGUGUUUUUGAAAUGCCCUGGCAGAGAGAUCCCCUUUCCUGACAUGCUGGAUGAAGAGAGGUCCUGCAUCGCUGCUGCCCAGCCAGGGUUGCUUUGUCUCUUUUGUUUCCAUCCCUUCAGACCCUUCUCAUUCCCACGCUCUCAAAUGCCAGGUCUUCAAGCCUUGCACUGGGGUUUCUCUUCAGGCUCUUUCCUGAGGAGGGCUCUGCUCUCCAGCCGGUGCUGCGGAGGCCUGACAGGCUGUUCCCGUGGCUUCCCCUCACUCCCAGCCCCAUAUAAGGGCACCCAGAAGUGUCUCCAGAGCCUCUUUCUGUGCAGCGAGCAGCUGUCCUAGCUGAGUGCCUGGGCUCUGGGGGAAAGAGCAGCUGAGCUUAUGCUGAGGUUGCUUUUCCUGCUGCCUGCAGAGCCUCCGGGAGGCUGGGCGCCUGAGGCCAGCACACCAGGUCACCUCCCUGGCCCUUGUCACACUUCUCUGUGCUGCGUUGCUCCCUGCCUCCUUGCAGGUCCCUGUUGCCUCUUGUGUUUCACCAGUCUGAAGCUUUGCCAGCCGCGGCGUUGGCUUGUCCUGCUGCUAAACACACCGCGCAGAACGUAGCUGCCUUAGCCCGGCUCUGCCUUUCUAGGCACUGAGCUGAGCUCUGAAAACACCUGCUAGUGACAGCUCGCCCGGUGUCCCCCCAGGCCACCAGGGACUUGUCCGUGACCCAUCAAAUCCCUGGCAGCUUUUCUGCUCAUCUGUAACGAGACCACAGGGCACCUGAGCUGACUGGGCAGCACCGGAGCUCUCGGCGGCGCGCAGGUCUGGGUUGCUGAUGUCCGUCACGCUCCUUCUCUGCCUCCUGAUGUCUCCUCCUGUGUGGGUGCUUUGCAUUUGGCUUGCAGGAACGCAGCUUGUUAACCACAGAGGGUUUUGAUAGCUUCUUGUGCCAGUGUCACCAAGCGCUGCCUGGCAGCCGCUUCCCAGCGAGCCCAGGGUUGGCACCCGGGUCCCUGCGGCCGCUCAGUGGUAGGUCUCGCUGCGCUCGGUCUCGUGGCCGUGCCCAGGUACUCCUGGCAUCUGGGCCCUUUGACACGCACGUGCAGGAGGCGCAGAAGGGGCCGUGUUGCAUUGCCUGCGCGUUGGCUGGUGUGGGGAACAUCAAGGGCUUGAUCAAAACAAGUCUUAAGGCUUCAUCUAAACAGAGAUCUCAAGUGGUCCCUUCCAACCUAGUUUUUCUCCAUGACUACGAUUAGAUCAUUUGCCUUCCAGGGAUCCUCAGCAGCAGGAGCUGGCACAGCAGGUAGAGAAUGUGUUGCCCGGGGGGCUGUGGUCUCUGCCCAGUGUGCGCCUUGUUCAGACCUGUUUCUGUAUUAGUCAUUUUGCAUUCAUCCAAGUGCCUAACCUGGCCUGUGCCGUUCCCGGGCACCGAGACAGCCAAGAGCUUUGGACACGCUCUCUCAGGAACGUGUUCCCCACGUGGAUUUAUGCCCCUGUCACCGCAGGAAUGAUUCAGAGUGGAGAGGACUGCUCUGCACACUGAGCUUGUGGAAAUCGUUUCUUCUGUUCAGCUGCUGAGCAGCAGGAGUUUGUGCUUCGCCUGCAGCACACCAGCUUGCUGGGUGCGUCAGAUGCCCGUCAGUGAGACCUGCAGGGAGAGCAGCUUUUCCAGCAGGCAGGUGAAGGGGGAUCUGACAUCAUGUACCAGCUGGAUUCCUCCCUGCAAGCCACGUAACGAGGUGCUUCUGUUUCCAAACUGUGUUCUGCCCCAGAGCCAGCUGCAGCAGUGACCCACAUGCAGAACUUCUUAAACCCUCUUCUGCAGAAUAAGAAGGGAUUCCCUUGUUGCUCCUGUUUUCUAGCCCACUGGCAGAACUCUAAAUGUCCUGAGAUUUUAGUGUAGGAAGAGGUGUGUCCUGCAAGGUAUAGGAAGUGCUGAUGGAGCUGCAUUCCUGUCGGAGCGGAGCAUCCUGCUGCGGCCAGGAUCCCGGGACGAGCGGAGCCCUGC
Molecule: long non-coding RNA, 2023 nt
Organism: Nothoprocta perdicaria
Lineage: Eukaryota; Metazoa; Chordata; Aves; Tinamiformes; Tinamidae
Exons: 2
Source: RefSeq, a predicted model, not a curated record